AAAUUGGAGUUUUAAAAAUAUUGAAGAGGUUGAAGGAGAGUCAAUCACACUUUGGUGAUCUCUUUGCUGGUAAUUACCUGUUCAUGCAAGUUAAUCCUUCUUCUCUUAACACUAAGUAUGUCUUCGACCGAUCUUUUCAAGUUCAAAAUGGUAACUUACCUCCCUCUAAAGUAUCUCUUCCUAGAGUUCUUAUGUAAAGAAGACGUAUGAAAGAAAAAGAUCGGUCAAUCACACUUUGGUGAUCUCUUUGCUGGUAAUUACCUUUUCAUGCAAGUUAAUCCUUCUGCUCUUAACAUUAAGUAUGUCUUCGACCGAUCUUUUCAAGUUCAAAAUGGUAACUUACCUCCCUCUAAAGUAUCUCUUCCUAGAGUUCUUAUGUAAAGAACACGUAUGAAAGAAAAAAAACAUCAAUUAUAUAUCCAUUUCGAGAUAAGAG
RNAcentral lists this long non-coding RNA (436 nucleotides) under Brassica rapa (field mustard). Its description in RNAcentral is "long non-coding RNA (BRAP_LNC007934)". Lineage: Eukaryota; Viridiplantae; Streptophyta; Magnoliopsida; Brassicales; Brassicaceae. The record is from RNAcentral.